UACCAGCUCUCCGAGUGGUAGGGAUGAUUAUUGGGCUUAAAGCGUCCGUAGCCGGCUUAGCAAGUCUCCUGUUAAAUUCAGCGACCUAAUCGUUGAGCCGCGGGAGAUACUACUAGGCUAGGAGGCGGGAGAGGUCAACGGUACUUCCGGGGUAGGGGUGAAAUCCUAUAAUCCCGGGAGGACCACCAGUGGCGAAGGCUGUUGACUAGAACGCGCUCGACGGUGAGGGACGAAAGCUGGGGGAGCGAACCGGAUUAGAUACCCGGGUAGUCCCAGCUGUAAACGAUGCGAGCUAGGGUGUUGGGGUGGCUACGUGCCACUUCAGUGCCGCAGGGAAGCCAUUAAGCUACGCCGCCUGGGGAGUACGGCCGCAAGGCUGAAACUUAAAGGAAUUGGCGGGGAGCACCACAAGGCGUGAAGCUUGCGGUUC
RNAcentral lists this ribosomal RNA (430 nucleotides) under uncultured archaeon. RNAcentral describes it as "bacterial SSU rRNA". It matches the Rfam family "Archaeal small subunit ribosomal RNA", at positions 474 to 903 of the family's 1478-position model. The record is from RNAcentral.